AAAAAGGCGGCGUAAAGCUGUCGCUAUGGGGAUGGCCCCCGCGGUGCAUUAGCUAGUUGGUAAGGUAAAGGCUUACCAAGGCGAUGAUGCAUAGCCCGAGUUGAGAGACUGAUCGGCCACAUUGGGGACUGAGACACGGCCCAAAAACUCCUACGGGGAGGCAGCAGUAGGGAAUCUUCCACAAUGGACGCAAGUCUGAUGGAGCAACGCCGCGUGAGUGAAGAAGGUUUUCGGAUCGUAAAGCUCUGUUGUUGGUGAAGAAGGAUAGAGGUAGUAACUGGCCUUUACUUGACGGUAAUCAACCAGAAAGUCACGGCUAACUACGUGCCAGCAGCCGCGGGUAAU
Molecule: ribosomal RNA, 345 nt
Filed under: uncultured Lactobacillus sp.
Lineage: Bacteria; Bacillati; Bacillota; Bacilli; Lactobacillales; Lactobacillaceae
Description: bacterial SSU rRNA
Rfam family: Bacterial small subunit ribosomal RNA
Source: RNAcentral